AUAUCAGUCAUGCAUAGCAUAUCAAUAAGCGGAGGAAAAGAAACUAACAAGGAUUCCCCUAGUAACGGCGAGUGAAGCGGGAAGAGCUCAAAUUUGAAAUCUUAAAGGGUUUCCCUUUACGAAUUGUAGUUUAAAGAAGUGUUUUCUGUUGAGGUUUUGGUAAAAGUUCUUUGGAAUAGGACAUCAUAGAGGGUGAGAAUCCCGUAUUUGACUUAUUCAUUCUAACUUUGUGAUACACUUUCAAAGAGUCGGACUGUUUGGGAAUGCAGUCCAAAAUGGGUGGUAAAUUUCAUCUAAAGCUAAAUAUUGGCGAGAGACCGAUAGCGAACAAGUACCGUGAGGGAAAGAUGAAAAGAACUUUGAAAAGAGAGUUAAACAGUACGUGAAAUUGUCAAAAGGGAAGCGUUUGACACCAGUGUUGUUUUUCUGAAAAUCAAUUAAAGAACUGUUUAUGCUAAGUUGUCUAGACUUUAUCAGCUAACUGUUUAGUUUUGAGCUUUUCUUUAAUGCACUUUUCAGUUAACAAGUCAACAUCAAUUUCUUUUGCUGUACAAAAGCUUGAGGAAGGUGGCUUGAGAUUCGUCUUAAGUGUUUAUAGCCUCUUGCCUAUGCAGUCGGAGAGAUUGAGGUCUGCAGCGUAGAUCCUUCGGGGCUAAAUGCAUUUGUGCUAAGUUAUAGCAUUUUAUAGACAACUUGUUGACUAUGAUUUGUCUUGUAGGCUUACUCGCUUAUGUUAUUUUACCUACGCUUAGGAUGUUGACGCGCGUGUGUGCGUG
Molecule: ribosomal RNA, 776 nt
Filed under: uncultured Neocallimastigales
Lineage: Eukaryota; Fungi; Neocallimastigomycota; Neocallimastigomycetes; Neocallimastigales
Description: partial large subunit ribosomal RNA
Rfam family: Eukaryotic large subunit ribosomal RNA
Source: RNAcentral